Siniperca chuatsi (mandarin fish) is the source of this 581-nucleotide long non-coding RNA. RefSeq lists it as uncharacterized. The transcript has 3 exons. NCBI's taxonomy places the organism in Eukaryota, Metazoa, Chordata, Actinopteri, Centrarchiformes, Sinipercidae. The record is from RefSeq and is a predicted model, not a curated record.
UCUGAAUGCUGGAAACUGACAGUGGCUCUCAGCAAGUGCCUUCUUCCACCAAUUCUUCAGGGUCUACUCCCCUGUCGCAUUUGGCAAGAAGACAGACAAGAAUGGAGACUACAUCAAAAAGUACCUUCCUCUUCUAAGGAAGUUUCCAGCCACGUAUAUCUAUGAGCCUUGGAAAGCUCCACUCAGAAUCCAACAGGCAGCAGGAUGCAUUGUAGGUAAAGACUACCCGCAUCCUAUUGCACAGCAUGAAGUGAUCAGCAAGAAGAACAUCCAGAGGAUGAAGUUAGCUUAUGCCAAGAGAUCCACAGACUCCGCUGACACACCCAGCAAAAAGCAAGGUGUAAAGCGCAGGGCACCAUCUGUCGCCAACAUGUUGAAGAAGAAAGAGAGAAAAAAGUAAUGUUUACACAAAUGAAUGCAAAGUAAUAGAGUUUAUGUGUAAUCUAUAUAUAUAUAUAUAUAUAUAUAUAUAUAUAUACAGGUUUUGGUGUCCUCCCAGUACUGAAGCUCUGUCUGGACUGGAAGCUAAAGUGGUCGGUCAGAGACUUAUUGAGAGUCUUAGUCUUAUUAAUGUGUGCAGG